RNAcentral lists this long non-coding RNA (1390 nucleotides) under Equus caballus (horse). RNAcentral describes it as "lncRNA (ENSECAG00000056543.1)". Lineage: Eukaryota; Metazoa; Chordata; Mammalia; Perissodactyla; Equidae. The record is from RNAcentral.
CAAAGGUCCACUCAGUUUCAAGGGGUGGUAACAUGGACCCCACUUCUCAGUGGAGGAACAUCAAUGUCACAUUAUGAGAAGAACACGUGGGACGGACAUGUAUUGUGCUGCUGUCUUUGGAAAAUACAAUCUGUUGGCUUGUGAUCCAUUUUUCUCAGAUGCCCAGACAGCCCUCACCACUGAUAGGCAGGGGCAUGAUCCCGCCUGCCGAGAGGACCUGACGUUGACACUAAACAGGAAUAAAAAGUGCUCAUCUGCUUCUGUGCCAUCAGACGGAGCCCAGUCAGCGAUGACCAGAAAGUUUCCUGCUUUGAAGUAGGCCUUCCCUGGGCUCAAGGAGGAGCUUAAAGACUGAAGAUGAUGAAACCGAGUAACUUGCUAAAGCAACACAGCUAGUAAUAGCAGAACAGAGAAGGCAAUCCAGGCAGUCUGGCUCUGAAGCCCAUGUUCUUAGCAGAGAAAUGAGGGGACAAGACCAGUUCUGGAGGCUAGAAGUCCAACAUUUGCAGUUGGCAAGCUGGAGACCCAGGAGAGCCAAUGGUACAGUUCCAACCUGAGUCUGAAGAUCUAAGAACUGGCAGAGCUGAUGGUAUGAGUUCCAGUUCAUGUUUGAGUCCAGGGGCAGGAGAAGACCAAUCUCCCAGCUUGAAGACAGUCAGGCAGAGGGAAGAAGGAGAAAAUUGAAGGCCAUGGAAUGAAGUCAAUUGCCAAAGUCACACCCCUAGAACAAAUGGAUGCCGUUUUGGCAACAAUUUUAAAUCUCCACUCUCGCAGUAUUGUCUCAGGCUAUCUGGGGAAACUUCACAUCUGAUUUGACUUGGGUUCCAGUUCCUGCCGCCAGCUUGCAGUCUCACUUGUCCACUUCCUCAAUGGUGCUUCCUGGGAUCACCUCUUAAGCAAAUUAUUUGCACUCAAAUCCUCGUCUCAGGAUCUGCUUCUGGGAAACUGACUGUCAUACAGCAAAGCACGGGCAGGGUGUACUUCUGGAAGAGGGAACAGCAUCAGCAAAGGCACAGAGCAAACUGGCUCAGCUGACGUGGUCACCCUUGGAGAAUUCAAAGUUGGGGACAUAGCUGUCCUCUGUACAGAAGUGGAGGAGGAAGGGCUGAGUGUCAGGAAGGCCCACGUGAAUGGAGAUGACAAACUCUCAAUUCGACCAGGCUCUCCAAACGACAGGGCAGGUGAGUUUGAAUGGGGUCUCUGAUCUUACGACGUGAGCAAGGGCCAAGGGUGGCAUGUUCCAGCAAACUUCCUUGUUUGGAAGGACACCGAGACAACAAGCUUUUGCCAGGUGGCUCACACGCCAGGUUUUCCUUUAAGCUAUGUUUUUGAGCUCUGCCUGCAGAAGGCACUUCAAUUGCUCCUCAGUCUCAUAACCCCCCUUUCUCUG